GGGCAACCUGCUGCUGACAAGUCUUCGUAUGUACAGUGAAAACAGUAAAACAAUGCAAGUUUGUAGUCAGUACGGCUUCUCUACUGAUUCCAAGAUUUUCUUUCUCUCCUCUGCUGAGGGCAUCUCCGGUUUCACACCAUUUCUUUUCCUUUGCAUCAUAAUGUCAUGCGCUAUGCAAGGAUUUCUGUCAUGAUCUCUAAGCUGCUGUGCAUACUUGGGCAUUCUAGACACUCGUACCCUGGCUCCGUCCCCGGCCGCGUCCGCGGGAGCCCGAGGCGGGAGGGGGACAGCCCCGUCUCCAAUUCGAAAGACGUCAGCGGCUCGGGCAGAGCGCUUAAGUACGGGCGCAGCCUACCCCGCUCCCGGCCUCGCGGCUCCCCCGGCCCAGCGCCGCCGCCGCCCACGCCCCGGCGGCGCU
Molecule: long non-coding RNA, 418 nt
Filed under: Gallus gallus (chicken)
Lineage: Eukaryota; Metazoa; Chordata; Aves; Galliformes; Phasianidae
Source: RNAcentral